UAGGGAAUAUUGGGCAAUGGACGCAAGUCUGACCCAGCCAUGCCGCGUGCAGGAUGAAGGCCUUCUGGGUUGUAAACUGCUUUUAUCUAGGAAGAAAACGCCCAUGCGUGGGAAACUGACGGUACUAGAUGAAUAAGCACCGGCUAACUCCGUGCCAGCAGCCGCGGUAAUACGGAGGGUGCAAGCGUUGUCCGGAUUUAUUGGGUUUAAAGGGUGCGUAGGCGGCCCGGUAAGUCAGUGGUGAAAGCCUCCAGCUCAACUGGAGAACUGCCAUUGAUACUGCCGGGCUUGAGUACAGACGAGGUUGGCGGAAUUGAUUGUGUAGCGGUGAAAUGCAUAGAUACAAUCAAGAACUCCGAUUGCGUAGGCAGCUAACUAGGCUGUAACUGACGCUGAGGCACGAAAGCGUGGGGAGCGAACAGGAUUAGAUACCCUGGUAGUCCACGCUGUAAACGAUGAUUACUCGAUGUUGGCGAUAAAC
RNAcentral lists this ribosomal RNA (481 nucleotides) under uncultured Bacteroidota bacterium. RNAcentral describes it as "bacterial SSU rRNA". It matches the Rfam family "Bacterial small subunit ribosomal RNA", at positions 355 to 834 of the family's 1533-position model. The record is from RNAcentral. Lineage: Bacteria; Pseudomonadati; Bacteroidota.